AUAUCGGUGGUCUCUUGUCCGCCAUCAAAACCAACGAAGAAUAAAUCAGUAAACCAACAGAAGAAGAAGAAAACCUGCACAGUCGCUCGUCUUUUCUCCAACAAAGAAGAUGGACACGCGCUUCACUCGGGGGAAGUCCAACAUCCUGGAGCGCCCUCUGACGCGUCCGAAGACGGAGGUGAGCGUGAGCGCCUUCGCGUUGCUGUUCUCAGAGAUGGUGCAGUACUGCCAGAGCCGUGUGUACUCGGUGACGGAGCUGCAGACCCGCCUGGCCGACAUGGGGCAGAGCGUCGGAGCCAGCAUGCUGGAUGUGCUGGUGCUGAGGGAGAAGAACGGGAAGAGGGAGACCAAAGUGCUCAACAUGCUGCUCUUCAUCAAGGUGAACGUCUGGAAGUCUCUGUUUGGGAAGGAGGCGGACAAACUGGAGCAGGCCAACGACGACGACAAGACGUACUACAUCAUCGAGAAGGAGCCGCUCAUCAACGCCUACAUCUCCGUGCCCAAAGAGAACAGCAGCUUGAACUGCGCCGCCUUCACCGCCGGCAUCGUGGAGGCCGUGCUCACACACAGCGGAUUCCCCGCCAAGGUCACGGCUCACUGGCACAAGGGCACCACGCUCAUGAUCAAGUUCAACGACUCUGUCAUCACCAGGGACAAGGCUCUGGACGGCAGAUAGAGGACUGGGGAGGGUCUAGUGUUUGUUGUGGUAACUUAUGAGAGUGUAUGGAUGAUAGCAGCAUACUGAGCCACGUGGUCUAGAGCACAGAACAUGCAGCGCCGCGGUUCAACCCGCCGUGUUCUUGUGGAUCAUCUCAGUCCUGUUACUCCUUAUUAAGUGACACAGGAUAGUUUCUUCUGAAAAUCAUUUUAUUUGCAGUUUCACGUCACAUUUGUUCAUUCAUAAAAACAUGAAUACUUUGGAUACUUUUAUCCAGGCCUGGGCGAUAUGAAGGAAGUCAAUCAUCACAAUAUUUCUGAUCAAAUACCUUUAUUGAUAUUGACACGAUAUCAGGGUUGAGUCUAGUGUGUCAAGAUGUAAAGACAAAAUAUGGAAAACACAAUAACAAAUAGAAAAGGACAUCACUUCAUACUUUUGUAAUCGAUAUCCAAAUUGAAGACACGAUCUAGUCUCAUUAGACGUUAAUAUAUUAUUGAUAUAUUGACCAGCCCUACUUUCACCACAUCAGAUUAUUGUUUUCUUUAGUUAUUCUCAAUUUGUUAAACCCAACAUGUCAAUUUAUUUGAAUUGAAAAAUGUCACCUUGGGCUCUUUGAAACAAUGUGUACACUUUUUAUAGACAAUGAAUCGAACAAAUGAUCAACAGAUGAUUUGAUAAUGAAAGUGAUUUGCCUCAAAGUGAAACUGAACAAGAACGUCCCCCUAAAUGUCAAACUAAUUAAAGCAUCCCUGGUUUGUGUAUUGUUAAUUCAUGUUACUAUCUUUAUUGCUGCAAAGUAUUUCAUGUAACAGACAAAGGUCCAGACUCCAGAUAUUUCUUUCAGUCUCAUUCCAGUUUGACUCCAGCUGCAUGUUUCAUCUCUGUCAAAUAGAUUCAUAAUUAGGGCUGUAGAUAUUAUUGACGACACUGAGGUCUUAUACCAACCAUCUUUGUUUUAUCAUUAUUUCAUGUAAUGUGUGUGUGUGUAUGUCUGUGUGUUACUUUGGAGGUAAUAGUAACAGAGAAAACAAUGUAAACACAAUGUACAUCUUCUGCAUUUUGACAACUUGUAUUGCUUAAAAGAAUAUUAAAUAAGUAAUGUACAGAAGGUUCAGCAUUUCUCCCCCCUUUAUUUUACUUCUGGCAGCAUUAAACAUAAUUAGCACUGUUUUGACCUACAUGUUGAGUUAUUUACAGAGAACAGAAUUGAAUACAAAUUGAAAAGUCCGAGUGAUUAUUAUUAAAAAUACACCCGUUUUUGGUUAAUAAUGGUUAAUAAUGUUAACUACUGACCAAGUGUUAAAUACAUAUUAAAAUGUAAAUGCAAUGUG
Notothenia coriiceps (black rockcod) is the source of this 1989-nucleotide RNA transcript. It is a transcript of the gene named trafficking protein particle complex subunit 5, with no coding region annotated. The transcript has 4 exons. The record is from RefSeq and is a predicted model, not a curated record. NCBI's taxonomy places the organism in Eukaryota, Metazoa, Chordata, Actinopteri, Perciformes, Nototheniidae.